GGCGGUGCUUUAGAUCCACCUAGAGGAGCCUGUUCUAGAACCGAUAACCCCCGUUCAACCUCACCUUCCCUUGCCCUCCCCGUCUAUAUACCGCCGUCGUCAGCAUACCCUGUGAAGGAGAAAUAGUAAGCAAAAUUGGUAUAGCCCAAAACGCCAGGUCGAGGUGUAGCUUAUGAGAAGGGAAGAAAUGGGCUACAUUUCCUUUUUAAGGAAACACGAAUUGUGCUAUGAAACUAGUGCAUGAAGGAGGAUUUAGCAGUAAGUAAGAAAAAGAGCGUCUUACUGAACCUGGCCCUGAAGCGCGCACACACCGCCCGUCACCCU
Molecule: ribosomal RNA, 324 nt
Filed under: Anatolichthys iconii
Lineage: Eukaryota; Metazoa; Chordata; Actinopteri; Cyprinodontiformes; Aphaniidae
Description: partial large subunit ribosomal RNA
Rfam family: Bacterial small subunit ribosomal RNA
Source: RNAcentral